UUAAAAUAUAUGGGAGCAGUUCUCCUAAAUUAACUGCUCUUUUGCAAGCUCUUCGCUCAGGAAAUGGCUCGGGUUACUGGGAAAUUCAAGCUGUGGUGUUAGCAAUUAAUUCUCUCAAGUCUCAUUCUAUUGAUGUUAUGUUUUCCUUAGUUAAGAAGAGAACAGCCAACAAGGCUGCUGAUUUUGUAGCUAAACAAGUUCUUGCAGGGUCCUUGAAUUCAAAAUGUCUAAGAGCCAUCCCACCAGAA
RNAcentral lists this unclassified non-coding RNA (248 nucleotides) under Hevea brasiliensis (rubber tree). The record is from RNAcentral. Lineage: Eukaryota; Viridiplantae; Streptophyta; Magnoliopsida; Malpighiales; Euphorbiaceae.